GUGGAACUCUCAUUUGUCCCUUUCGGGCAGGGGGAGCUCCUCCUCCUUACCUGGAUUGUGAGUUUAAUCCUCUCCUCACAAAUUAGGGAUUGUACAUAGGCUUUUUGAGUUCUUUUGUGGCUUCGUUGGUCUGAGCCUUAAACGGAGAGGAUUUUUAAUGUGGGGAACCUGCGUUUGUGUUGUGAUGAAUUUCUUCUUUUAUUUAUGCUACUAGUUGUUAGUGUUGGUUUUGCAGGAGAGAGUGAGAAUCUCCUUAAGGUUGGUA
This 265-nucleotide unclassified non-coding RNA is filed under the name Hevea brasiliensis (rubber tree). The record is from RNAcentral. Lineage: Eukaryota; Viridiplantae; Streptophyta; Magnoliopsida; Malpighiales; Euphorbiaceae.